GACGAACGCUGGCGGCGUGCCUAAUACAUGCAAGUAGAACGCAGUUGCGAACGGGUGAGUAACGCGUAGGUAACUGCCUCAUAGCGGGGGAUAACUAUUUGAAACGAUAGCUAAUACCGCAUACUGUGAGAUGGACCUGCAUUGUAUUAGCUAGUUGGUGAGGUAAAGGCUCACCAAGGCGCCGAUACAUAGCCGACCUGAGAGGGUGACCGGCCACACGGGGACUGAGAACAGGCCAAGACUCCUAGGGGAGAAAGCAGUGGGGAAUUUUGGGCAAUGGAGGGAAGUCUGACCGAGCAACGCGGCGUGUAUGAAGAAGGUUUUCGGAUCGUAAACCUCUGUUUUCGAGGAGGCGGUAUCUAAACAGAAAGCCACGGCUAACUACGUGCCAGCAGCCGCGGUAAUAC
Molecule: ribosomal RNA, 407 nt
Filed under: uncultured bacterium
Lineage: Bacteria
Description: partial 16S ribosomal RNA
Rfam family: Bacterial small subunit ribosomal RNA
Source: RNAcentral